ACGUAGGGGGCGAGCGUUAUUCGGAAUUACUGGGUGUAAAGGGUAUGUAGGCGGCCCUUCAAGUCGCGUGUCAAAGUCCAGGGCUCAACGCUGGGUGUGCGCGCGAUACUGACGGGCUGGAGGGCGGGAGAGGUAAGCGGAAUUCCCGGUGUAGCGGUAAAAUGCGUAGAGAUCGGGAGGAACACCAGCGGCGCAGGCGGGUCACUAGACAGUUUCUGACGCUAAGAUGCGAAAGCGUGGGGAGCAAACAG
This 251-nucleotide ribosomal RNA is filed under the name uncultured prokaryote. RNAcentral's name for it is "partial 16S rRNA". It matches the Rfam family "Bacterial small subunit ribosomal RNA", at positions 525 to 775 of the family's 1533-position model. The record is from RNAcentral.